RNAcentral lists this ribosomal RNA (465 nucleotides) under uncultured bacterium. RNAcentral's name for it is "partial 16S ribosomal RNA". It matches the Rfam family "Bacterial small subunit ribosomal RNA", at positions 28 to 507 of the family's 1533-position model. The record is from RNAcentral.
GACGAACGCUGGCGGCGUGCUUAACACAUGCAAGUCGAACGGAAAGGCCCCUUUGGGGGUCCUCGAGUGGCGCACGGUUGAGUAACACGUGAGUAACCUGCCCUUGACUUCGGGAUAACUUCAGGAAACUGGGGCUAAUACCGGAUAGGAAUCCUUGCUGCAUGGUGGGGGUUGGAAAGCUUCGGCGGUUUUGGAUGGACUCGCGGCUUAUCAGCUUGUUGGUGGGGUAGUGGCUUACCAAGGCUUUGACGGGUAGCCGGCCUGAGAGGGCGACCGGCCACAUUGGGACUGAGAGACAGCCCAGACUCCUACGGGAGGCAGCAGUGGGGAAGAUUGCACAAUGGGCGGAAGCCUGAUGCAGCAACGCCGCGUGCGGGAUGACGGCCUUCGGGUUGUAAACCGCUUUCAGCAGGGGCGAAGCUUGUGGUGACGGUACCUGCAGAAGAAGCACCGGCUAACUACGUG